CGGCCCACCAAGGCUACGACGGGUACCUGGUCUGAGAGGACGAUCAGGCACACUGGAACUGAGACACGGUCCAGACACCUACGGGUGGCAGCAGUCGAGAAUAAUUCACAAUGGGGGCAACCCUGAUGGUGCAACGCCGCGUGGAGGAUGAAGGUCUUCGGAUUGUAAACUCCUGUCAUCCGGGAGCAAGACCUGACGGUGAAUAGCCGGCAGGGUUGAUAGUACCGGAAGAGGAAGGGACGGCUAACUUCGUGCCAGCAGCCACGGUAAUACGAAGGUCCCGAGCGUUGUUCGGAAUCACUGGGCGUAAAGGGAGCGUAGGCGGCGUGGUAAGUCAGAUGUGAAAUCCCGGGGCUCAACCCCGGAACUGCAUCCGAUACUGCCGUGCUAGAGGAUUGGAGAGGUAGCUGGAAUUCACGGUGUAGCAGUGAAAUGCGUAGAUAUCGUGAGGAACACUCGUGGCGAAAGCGAGCUACUGGACAACUCCUGACGCUGAGGCUCGAAGGCCAGGGUAGCGAAAGGGAUUAGAUACCCCUGUAGUCCUGGCAGUAAACGGUGCACGCUUGGUGUGAGGGGAAUCGACCCCCCUUGUGCCGGAGCAAACGCGUUAAGCGUGCCGCCUGGGAAGUACGGUCGCAAGACUAAAACUCAAAGAAAUUGACGGGGACCCGCACAAGCGGUGGAGUAUGUGGCUUAAUUUCGAUGCAACGCGAAGAACCUUACCAAGGCUUGACAUGGAUUUCUAAGCACGUGAAAGCGUGUGACCCUUCGGGGACUUCCACAGGUGCUGCAUGGCCGUCGUCAGC
Molecule: ribosomal RNA, 806 nt
Filed under: uncultured bacterium
Lineage: Bacteria
Description: bacterial SSU rRNA
Rfam family: Bacterial small subunit ribosomal RNA
Source: RNAcentral